This 355-nucleotide unclassified non-coding RNA is filed under the name soil metagenome. RNAcentral's name for it is "partial contains 5.8S ribosomal RNA, internal transcribed spacer 2, and large subunit ribosomal RNA". The stretch from base 1 to 120 matches the Rfam family "5.8S ribosomal RNA", at positions 35 to 154 of the family's 154-position model. The record is from RNAcentral.
GAUGAAGAACGUAGCGAAAUGCGAUAAGUAAUGUGAAUUGCAGAAUUCAACGAAUCAUCGAAUCUUUGAACGCACAUUGCGCCCGCCAGUAUUCUGGCGGGCAUGCCUGUUCGAGCGUCAUUUCAACCCUCAAGCACCCUGUGCUUGGUGUUGGGGCACUACGCAACCCUGCUGUAGUCCCCUAAAGCCAUCGGCGGGCUCGCUAUAACCCCGAGCGUAGUAAUCUACAGCAGCUCCGGGCGUGUUAUGGCGGGAUCUUGCCGCAAAACCUGCUGUCCCCCGGGACGCAUACCAAGGUUGACCUCGGAUCAGGUAGGAAUACCCGCUGAACUUAAGCAUAUCAAUAAGCGGAGGA